GACAGAGGGUGCAAACGUUGCUCGGAAUCACUGGGCGUAAAGGGCGUGUAGGCGGGUAGAUAAGUCGGGCGUGAAAUCCCUAGGCUCAACCUAGGAACUGCACUCGAAACUGUUUAUCUUGAGUGCCGGAGAGGAAAGCGGAAUUCCUGGUGUAGAGGUGAAAUUCGUAGAUAUCUGGAGGAACACCGGUGGCGAAGGCGGCAUCCUGGACCGGCAUUGGCGCUGAGGCGCGAAAGCUAGGGGAGCAAACGGG
RNAcentral lists this ribosomal RNA (253 nucleotides) under uncultured bacterium. RNAcentral's name for it is "partial 16S ribosomal RNA". It matches the Rfam family "Bacterial small subunit ribosomal RNA", at positions 524 to 776 of the family's 1533-position model. The record is from RNAcentral.